RNAcentral lists this ribosomal RNA (505 nucleotides) under uncultured soil bacterium. RNAcentral's name for it is "bacterial SSU rRNA". It matches the Rfam family "Bacterial small subunit ribosomal RNA", at positions 26 to 517 of the family's 1533-position model. The record is from RNAcentral.
AGGACGAACGCUGGCGGCGCGCUUAACACAUGCAAGUCGAGCGAGAACCGGACCUUCGGGUCCGGGGACAGCGGCGAACGGGUGAGUAACACGUGGGUAAUUUGCCCUCGGUUUCGGGAUAGCCCGGGGAAACCCGGAUUAAUACCGGAUAGCCUCUAGAGCUCUCGGGCUCGAGAGGAAAGGUAGCUUCGGCCUCCGACCGAGGAGAAGCCCGCGGCGGAUUAGCUUGUUGGUGGGGUAAUGGCCCACCAAGGCGACGAUCCGUAGCUGGUCUGAGAGGACGAUCAGCCACACUGGGACUGAGACACGGCCCAGACUCCUACGGGAGGCAGCAGUGGGGAAUCUUGCGCAAUGGGCGAAAGCCUGACGCAGCGACGCCGCGUGAGGGAAGAAGGCCUUCGGGUUGUAAACCGUCUUUCAGCAGGGACGAAGCCACUCAGGUUAAUAGCCGAGAGGUGACGGUACCUGCAGAAGAAGCCCCGGACUAACUACGUGCCAGCAGCCG